Molecule: ribosomal RNA, 253 nt
Filed under: uncultured bacterium
Lineage: Bacteria
Description: partial 16S ribosomal RNA
Rfam family: Bacterial small subunit ribosomal RNA
Source: RNAcentral
UACGGGGGGUGCGAGCGUUGUCCGGAAUCACUGGGCGUAAAGGGCGCGUAGGCGGAUGGCACAGUCAGAUGUGAAAUUCCCGGGCUUAACCUGGGGGCUGCAUUUGAUACGUGUUGUCUAGAGUGAGGAAGAGGGUUGUGGAAUUCCCAGUGUAGAGGUGAAAUUCGUAGAUAUUGGGAAGAACACCGGUGGCGAAGGCGGCAACCUGGUCCUUGACUGACGCUGAGGCGCGAAAGCGUGGGGAGCAAACAGG